Molecule: ribosomal RNA, 759 nt
Filed under: uncultured bacterium
Lineage: Bacteria
Description: bacterial SSU rRNA
Rfam family: Bacterial small subunit ribosomal RNA
Source: RNAcentral
GUAUAAAGUGGCGAACGGGUGAGUAGCACGGUGGGCAACCUGCCCUUUGCACUGGGAUAGCCUCGGGAAACCGAGGUUAAUACCGGAUACUCCAUAUUUGUCGCAUGGCGAAUAUGGGAAAGCUCCGGCGGCAAAGGAUGGGCCCGCGGCCUGUUAGCUAGUUGGUGGGGUAGUGGCCUACCAAGGCAAUGAUGGGUAGCCGGGUUGAGAGACCGACCGGCCAGAUUGGGACUGAGACACGGCCCAGACUCCUACGGGAGGCAGCAGUGGGGAAUCUUGCACAAUGGGCGAAAGCCUGAUGCAGCGACGCCGCGUGCGGGAUGAAGGCCUUCGGGUUGUAAACCGCUUUCAGCAGGGACGAGGCCGCAAGGUGACGGUACCUGCAGAAGAAGCCCCGGCUAACUACGUGCCAGCAGCCGCGGUAAUACGUAGGGGGCAAGCGUUAUCCGGAUUCAUUGGGCGUAAAGCGCGCGUAGGCGGUCUGUUAGGUCAGGAGUUAAAUCUGGGGGCUCAACCCCUAUCCGCUCCUGAUACCGGCAGGCUUGAGUCUGGUAGGGGAAGAUGGAAUUCCAAGUGUAGCGGUGAAAUGCGCAGAUAUUUGGAAGAACACCGGUGGCGAAGGCGGUCUUCUGGGCCAUGACUGACGCUGAGGCGCGAAAGCUAGGGGAGCGAACAGGAUUAGAUACUCUGGUAGUCCUAGCUGUAAACGAUGGACACUAGGUGUGGGGAGNNNAUACUUUCCGUGCCGCAGCUAACGCA